UAUGUCUGAGGAUGUGUGACUCAUGAGCUUUAUAUAAUUCCAGUAACACUAAUAACUGAUAAGAAAGGAGUUCUGAAAAUCCUGUUAUGCUGGGACUCAGUGUUGUAUUUGCUGUAUUCUUUUGAGCAACAGAGAAAUGUCAUUAUUCUCAGAGCAAGGGACACUGAGUUUCUAAGAAGAAACAUGUCUUCUCCAAUCUCUGAGGCUGUUCUGGAAUACAAACAAAACAAUAGGAGCUGAGGUUUUGUCACGAAGCACAAACUGGCCAUGAUGCAGAAACAAAACUACAAGCAAAUGUGUAGAGGGAGGAACAAUGAGAUUUCUUGUUGGACUUUAACAGAGGCAAUAAGGACUGUGAAGAAGCAUGCUGGAUUGAACAACCCUGUGGCACACAGCAUGGGAUAAUUGCCAAACACUGCCUGCAUCAUCUGCUCUGACGACAGCAGUUCCAGGCUGCCCUAAAGGUUUGAGGUGCCAUCGGAUCCCACCCGGAGGCUGCAGUUCCACCUUUUCUCUGAGCUGAUCUCCACACCAGCACCCAUUCCCUGCCGCUGUUCCCUCUGGGGCCAGCACUACUCUCGUGUAGUUGCACUUUUCCAAAUCACAACAGAACCCCUCUCCUUGCCCCUCAAAACCACAGCAGUUGCUUCAGCUGACAGAGCAUGGAGCCAUGUAGUGUUACUGCUGGCAGCGAGGGUGGAGCAAGAAAAGUAAAUAAUUUUUUUUAAAAAGUAAAAAAAGUACAUGCCAGUCAUUAAGCCGUGUAAAGUAAGCAUGGAAUUGCAGCUUGUGAAGUGUAUGUAUAUAUAUUUAUUACAUUUUACCAAUGAACCAGCCUGUUUAGCCUUGACAUGACUUUUAAGAAGACUGUUCUUGAAUGGAAGAUUGUUCUCCCCCACUUCCUCCUCCCACUCAAACAUUACCGUUAAAGUCUCUUGGUAGCCACCUGUAAGCCCCUGUCAAUAUAAAGUCGAA
Long non-coding RNA from Vidua chalybeata, 975 nucleotides. RefSeq lists it as uncharacterized. NCBI's taxonomy places the organism in Eukaryota, Metazoa, Chordata, Aves, Passeriformes, Viduidae. The transcript is spliced from 4 exons. The record is from RefSeq and is a predicted model, not a curated record.